Molecule: small nuclear RNA, 107 nt
Organism: Saimiri boliviensis boliviensis (Bolivian squirrel monkey)
Lineage: Eukaryota; Metazoa; Chordata; Mammalia; Primates; Cebidae
Source: Ensembl
GUGCUUGCCUCAGCAGCAUAUAUACUAAAAUUGGAACAAUACAGAAAAGAUUAGCAUGACUGCUGCACAAGGAUGACAGGCAAAUUCAUGAAGCAUUCAGUAUCUUU